Molecule: long non-coding RNA, 3316 nt
Organism: Peromyscus leucopus (white-footed mouse)
Lineage: Eukaryota; Metazoa; Chordata; Mammalia; Rodentia; Cricetidae
Exons: 5
Source: RefSeq, a predicted model, not a curated record
AAUAUCCCAGGGGCUUGCCCACAGGCCAGUCUCGUGGAGGUGUCUUCUCAGUUGGGAUUCCCUUUUCCCAGAUGACUCAGGCUUGUGUCAAGUUGACAUAAAAACUAGCCAGCACAGAAAGAGUACUGGUGUUACACCCAGCACGGCAAUUAAGGAGGAACUAUUAUAUACGCGUGUGUGUGUGUGUGUGUGUGUGUGUGUAUGGUUUUAUUUAUUCUUUGACAUAUUCAUACUGUGUAAAAUGUAUGUUGGUCAUAUCCACCCCUCACUCCUCUCUUCAGCUCCCCCCAGAACCCCUAUUUAAUCUCCCCCCCCCACCAACUUUAUGUCCUUCUCUCUCUCUCAUAUAUAUAUAUGUAUAUAUGCAUACAUUUAGUAUACUAAAUACAAUUAGUGUUGCCCGUAUGCACAAAGGCAUUAUAGUCAUUCACUGAAGCACGAAGAACCUACUCAAAAAAAAAGUAAGUUUCCCUCCCCCAGCAGCUGAUAGGUUGGCAGCCCCUCCCCGUUGCAUGGUGGGAUUUUUAGCUGGCUUGAUAUUGUGCGGGGAUUGUGUAGGUAACCACUGUUUCUAUGAGUAAAUGUGUGUAACACCCAUGUUGUAUCCAGAGAACACAGCAUUCCAUAGCAUUCUUCCCUCCCUAUCCUCCAGCUCUUAAAUUCUUUCCAACAGUGUUCCCUGAGGAAGGAGGUAGGGAGGGGACGGAAUAUAGAUCAUCCAUGUAUGGUCAAGUACUCACAAUUACUUAUUCUAAGCGCUUUGAACAAUAACAGUAAUGUGUUCCCACAUUAACUGUCACCCCCCCAAAACAAACAAACAAACAAAAAACAAAGCAAGAUCCUCAGACAAAGGUUGGGAGCCGUACCAAUCUACGGCUAUAAACAUUUAGAAGGAGGUUUGACAAGACCAUUAGAAAACAGCAUUAACAGUGCCUCCCUUACAGCCUGUGACUGUCCGAGACAUGGGUUUUGGUCAUCUCCUACCAGACAGGAAAUGCCUCCUUCGGGGCAGGCCUCCUGCUCAUCUCCCCGACUCUACUUUCUCCUCCCUCUAACCCUUUCAUGUUCUGCUUCCAUCCAAGCGUUUCUGAAGAACUCACUUCCUCUCAGUAGUGUGUCCAACAAAAUCUAAUAGUAAAAUGCAGGUGAAAUCAAAGUAGAGAGGGGAACAGUAGGGGGGAAAAUGAGGGAGAAGCUGGGGAUGGCCUCCAGCUUCCCGAUCCUUCAUCACCGGAACUGGCUUUUCCACUGAACGUGUGUUCUGGGUGAGGCUUCACGGCCGCCCAUGUCCAUGGUCCUAUAGCUGCAUUUUAAAUUAAAAAAUUUAAGGUUAUGAUAAAAUAUGCAUAACAUAAAAGCUACUGUCUUGGCAGUAAGGUUUCAUACAUGGACAGUCUUGUGUAACCUGCCUCCAGAGCUUCCUUCAUCUUGCAAAACUGAAACUCUGUAGUCAUUAAACACCACCCGUAUCUUCUAAUUCCUGUCAAUCACCCCUCUAUCAUUUGUUGCAAUUUUUGUCUGAUGACUCUCAUUGAGUAUUUGACUUUUUUGUGACUGGCUUAUUUCAUUCAGCCCCAUAUUCCCAAGGUUCAUUGGUGUGGAACCAUAUGUCAGAAUUUCAUUUCUUCUAAAGGCUAAAUAAUACUCUAUUACAUGUAGGCAGCACAUUGUUAUACAUUUUUAUUUAUCCAUCCACUGAAUGAGAGAUAUUUGAGUUUGUUUUCCUUUUUUUGCUAUUGUGAAUAUUGCCGCUGUAAGCACGGGUGUGCAAAUAUCUCUUCAGGACCUACUUUCCAGUCUUUUGCUGACAUUCCAAGAAAUGAAAUAAUUGCUGGAUCAUGCGUGAUUCCAUUCUCAGUUUUUCUUCGUACUACUUACUAUCCUAUUCCUGUGGCCAAAUGCCUGAGGAGAAGCAAAGGCUCAAAGUUCGGGGAUAUACACUCCAUCAAGGCAAGAAGGUGCAGCAGCUCGGACGUGUUGCAGCUGCUCACGCUGCAUCUGCAGCCAGGGAGCAGAGAGAGACAUACCAGGAGAUGGAUGUGCCAGGUCUCUCCAAAUCCAGACAAGCUGACAAUGCAGGAUGGCUAUCAUGGGACUCGUGCUAAUGGCUGAGAUUCUUCACGGACAUCCAAUUAAAACAGCACACUCCACCGUGGGUCAAUGCCAUGGAAAUGAAGCAGAGGACAAAGGACGAAAGAAAGCCAGUACCUAGUGUUCAUCCUGAAAUUUGCCAGAAAAACAAGUUCCACCAUUUAGACUGAACUUAAGUAAUUUUUUACUAAAUUAUUAAAUACUGACCAGGAUGGAAUUAAGACCAUCACCUGGAAACUUUCCAGGCAUGCUCAUGAAUCUGGAGGUCAUUGGACACUAUUUCGGUCAAAGUGUCUGGUCAGUGGGCCCCCAGAAUCCACCUAUAUCUGCCCCUCGGAGCUGAGGUUACUAAUGCACAUGGCCAUGUCCAGCUUUUACAUGGUGCUGGGGAGCUGAAAUUAAGUCUUCAUGCUUGUGCAGAAAGCGCUUUACCCUUGGAAUCAUUUACUCUGCCCCCUUGACCUUGGGCUUCGUUCUGUGCUUCCCGGAUAAGCAGUAGUUUCUUGCGGACCACAUGCCAAGCAAAAUGGGGAGACCACAAUGUGAAGAGAAGCUGAACGGAUUCCAAGCUGAUGGAGUUUGAACUUGUAGUUGUGUGAUCUUAACCACCCCUCCCACGGUGGACAGAGUUAUCUGCUACAGUAGACAGGGAUAGGUGGACAUAAUUGGCUUCAACGUUGAGAACCAGUAUUGUCCACUGUGGCCCUUUCUAUAUAGUAACACUCUACAGUAAUCAGAGUGUUAAUCUCAAAAUGCAUGCUAGCUUUGGGUUAUGUUCCCCCUGAAGGCAAUAAGCCCAGACCCAGAACCUUCUAAAACAGUGAAAUUACUUUCUUGAUCAUUAUCUCUUGACCAAGAGGCCAGUCAGAAAAGGCGGAAGUAGGUACUAGGCACCUGGUGACACCGGGCAGUUUGCUUGCAUGUGAAACUUUAGUUGUGUCAAGUAGUUUUUUUGUCAACUUGACAUAAACUAGAGUCAUUUGGGAAGAGAGAACCUCAACUGAGAAAAUGCCCCCUACCACGUUGGCCUGUGGGUACUUUCUUAUUGAAUGAUGGAUGUGGGUGGGCCCAGCUCACUGUGGCUGGAGCUAUCCCUGGGGUAGGUAGGUCCUGAGAUGUCUAAGAAAGCAGUCUAAGCAAACCACGUGGAACAAGAUAGUGAGCAGCAUUCCUCCAUGGCCUCUGCAUCAGUUCCUGCCUCCAGGCCCCUGCCCUGAGUUCCUAC